RNAcentral lists this ribosomal RNA (498 nucleotides) under uncultured bacterium. Its description in RNAcentral is "partial 16S ribosomal RNA". It matches the Rfam family "Bacterial small subunit ribosomal RNA", at positions 27 to 507 of the family's 1533-position model. The record is from RNAcentral.
GGAUGAACGCUGGCGGCGUGCCUACUCCCUGCAAGUCGAGCGAACAGACGAGGAGCUUGCUCCUCUGACGUUAGCGGCGGACGGGUGAGUAACACGUGGAUAACCUACCUAUAAGACUGGGAUAACUUCGGGAAACCGGAGCUAAUACCGGAUAAUAUAUUGAACCGCAUGGUUCAAUAGUGAAAGACGGUUUUGCUGUCACUUAUAGAUGGAUCCGCGCCGCAUUAGCUAGUUGGUAAGGUAACGGCUUACCAAGGCAACGAUGCGUAGCCGACCUGAGAGGGUGAUCGGCCACACUGGAACUGAGACACGGUCCAGACUCCUACGGGAGGCAGCAGUAGGGAAUCUUCCGCAAUGGGCGAAAGCUUGACGGAGCAACGCCGCGUGAGUGAUGAAGGUCUUCGGAUCGUAAAACUCUGUUAUUAGGGAAGAACAAAUGUGUAAGUAACUAUGCACGUCUUGACGGUACCUAAUCAGAAAGCCACGGCUAACUACGUG